This 72-nucleotide transfer RNA is filed under the name Gregarina niphandrodes. It matches the Rfam family "tRNA". Rfam says of the family: Transfer RNA (tRNA) molecules are approximately 80 nucleotides in length. Their secondary structure includes four short double-helical elements and three loops (D, anti-codon, and T loops). Further hydrogen bonds mediate the characteristic L-shaped molecular structure. tRNAs have two regions of fundamental functional importance: the anti-codon, which is responsible for specific mRNA codon recognition, and the 3' end, to which the tRNAs corresponding amino acid is attached (by aminoacyl-tRNA synthetases). tRNAs cope with the degeneracy of the genetic code in two manners: having more than one tRNA (with a specific anti-codon) for a particular amino acid; and 'wobble' base-pairing, i.e. permitting non-standard base-pairing at the 3rd anti-codon position. Lineage: Eukaryota; Apicomplexa; Conoidasida; Eugregarinorida; Gregarinidae. The record is from Rfam by way of RNAcentral.
GUCCUCUUAGCUUAGGCGCAGAGCAUUCGUCUAGUAAGCGAAAGGUCCCAGGUGCGAUUCCGGUAGAAGGCU